Non-coding RNA from Fragilaria crotonensis, 73 nucleotides. Lineage: Eukaryota; Bacillariophyta; Fragilariophyceae; Fragilariales; Fragilariaceae. The record is from the annotation of a GenBank genome assembly.
AAGCUUGUAGCUCAGGGGUUAGAGCGUACGCCUGAUAAGCGUAAAGCCAGUAGUUCAAAUCUACUUAAGCUUA